RNAcentral lists this ribosomal RNA (253 nucleotides) under uncultured bacterium. RNAcentral describes it as "partial 16S ribosomal RNA". It matches the Rfam family "Bacterial small subunit ribosomal RNA", at positions 524 to 776 of the family's 1533-position model. The record is from RNAcentral.
UACGAAGGGUGCAAGCGUUACUCGGAAUUACUGGGCGUAAAGAGUGCGUAGGCGGUUUCCCAAGUCCGCUGUGAAAUCCCCGGGCUCAACCUGGGAAUGGCAGUGGAAACUAGGAGACUUGAAUCUGGCAGAGGGGGGUGGAAUUCCACGUGUAGCAGUGAAAUGCGUAGAGAUGUGGAGGAACACCGAUGGCGAAGGCAGCCCCCUGGGCUGAGAUUGACGCUCAGGCACGAAAGCGUGGGGAGCAAACAGG